CGAAUCCUAGAGAUUCCAUUCUAAGCGGUGGAUCACUAGGCUCGCGGGUCGAUGAAGAACGGGGCCAGCCCCGAGAAUAAGUGCGAAUUGCAGACACAAAGAGCAUCGACUUUUCGAACGCAUAUUGCGGUAUCGGGCCUGCUCGAUACCACGCCUAUCUGAGGGUCGAAUGAGCGAAAAA
Molecule: ribosomal RNA, 181 nt
Filed under: Longidorus fasciatus
Lineage: Eukaryota; Metazoa; Nematoda; Enoplea; Dorylaimida; Longidoridae
Description: 5.8S ribosomal RNA
Rfam family: 5.8S ribosomal RNA (bases 17-168)
About the family: 5.8S ribosomal RNA (5.8S rRNA) is a component of the large subunit of the eukaryotic ribosome.
Source: RNAcentral